GGGCUGGUGAUACCCUCGGGGAAAUAAAUCUCCACCAGCAGUGGCAUUACUUACUGUUUGUUUCAUAUAUGUGCAUAUAUAUAGGUCUUAUCAGUAUUUUUCAUAGAUUUGAUAUCCAGAAGUUGAUUGGUUAAAGACAAUUUCUUUUUGGCGUAUCCAUGGUAACAACCCAUAUGUUUUUGAUAAAAUAUAUUGCAAAAAGGGGAUAAAGAUGUGAUAUAUAUCCCCAAAUUUGGUCAAAAGUAGACUUUCAAUCCUUUGGAGUGAUACCUUUUC
This 276-nucleotide long non-coding RNA is filed under the name Mytilus galloprovincialis (Mediterranean mussel). The record is from RNAcentral. Lineage: Eukaryota; Metazoa; Mollusca; Bivalvia; Mytilida; Mytilidae.